GGGGAGUUACUCAAGAGGCUGAAGAGGACGGUUUGCUAAAUCGUUAGGUCGGGAAACCGGCGCGAGGGUUCGAAUCCCUUACUCCCCU
Transfer RNA from Lactococcus garvieae Lg2, 88 nucleotides. It matches the Rfam family "tRNA". From Rfam's summary of the family: Transfer RNA (tRNA) molecules are approximately 80 nucleotides in length. Their secondary structure includes four short double-helical elements and three loops (D, anti-codon, and T loops). NCBI's taxonomy places the organism in Bacteria, Bacillati, Bacillota, Bacilli, Lactobacillales, Streptococcaceae. The record is from Rfam.